ACGGAGGAGCAGAAGAUAACCAAAAUAUUAAUCCCUAAAUGGGCAGCAUCCAUAAAACUGAUGCUCUGUCUGCAUCUUGAGUUAAUUAUUUGCCUAUUUUCAACUUUAAAGCACUGACCUGAUCUAAUUUCUCCCCUUUCCACGGAAUUUCUAAUAGGAAGAUUCAUUAAUCUUUUAUUUCUGUUGCUGACUGUGUCUUUAGGAUCAACAUCCAGAGAAAUGAUGCAAAUGCCUGACAAUUGCCAUUCACACCCUUUCUCUAAUAUUACUGUUGGAAAUGAAAACAUUGUGAGAACCUCUGAGGGAGCUCUUGCCCCAUUGCCUCGUUGUACCAGUGGAAAAGCGAAUGCCAGCCAAGAGGUCAUUGUUUGAAGUUCCUCAUUACCACAAUUUGCUGCUGUUAUAUACCAUGCUCAGCAAUGGAAAGAGUGGCCAGUAGUAGUAGUAAGUUGUGAAACAAAAGUGGUAGAAAGUAUCCGCAAGAGCUAUCAUCACCCAGUUUUAUUAAUUCAACAUACCAAAGACUUCAGUGAAGAAUUUAAUGGAAAUCAAGAUCACUUUGGCUUGGAAAUCACUUAAUAGAUAAUGCAAACUAUCCAGUCCAUGGUCUGCUGGUACAUUUUAAAACAUUGCCAAUCAAUUUUCUGUAGCCAUCCUUUGGUCUUUCAGAGAAGAAAGAGUCAUGUAUCCUUCUACAAGGUGAUACUUCAUAGCUCUCUGGAAGUUUUGGGUUGCAUGUUUGAGCACUUCAAGUAUUUCCAUCAAGUGUACAUUCAUCAGGUGACUCUGUUACCACAGAAAGAGACCAGAUGGAUGAUGCAGGCAGUUAUGCUGUCCAGGCACCUCCUCAACAACUGGUCAUCUCACACUAACAGCUCAUCAUUCUCCUUCUUCCUUCCUCAGCUGUUUGUGUUGCUUCACUAUAAAUGAAUCAAUGCUGUUUGCCUCAACCACUCCUUGUGGGAAUACAUCAAUAUUUUGGUGAUGCUUGUUUCAACAGCUUUCAUGAGGUUCUUCUUUUGAUUCAUGAAUGGCAAAUGGUCAGCACAAUGGCAAAGCUCGUAGAGUUACUGCCUCACAGCUCCAGCAAUGUCAUCUUCCAUACAAAAUUUUGGACUUCUUUCUUCCCAACCAUCAAUCUUCCAAUCUUUCUGAACCCAACUUGUAUAAAUUAGCUUUCAAACCCCUAAAGAAAGUUUCCAAUCCUUGCAAAAUUUGGCAAUGACUCAAAGCUAAGAGUAACACAAAACUGUGGUAUGAAAUAUGAUAGAAAAAUACAGAACUUCAACCAAUUUAUUAAUUAAUAUCUGUAAAAAUAAGUCUCAUCACUUGCUAUGUUCAUUAUUAAUAUUAUGGCAUUACAAGAGAAUGUAAUGACAUAGCACAGAAUGGCAUAGCUCCAGCAACCCAGCUUCAAUCCCGACUUCCAGUGCUCUCAGUGUGGAAUUUGCACACUGAUCACGUGUGUUACCUCAGGGUGCUCCCAUUUCCUCCCACAUCCCAAACAUGUACAAUUUGGAAGGUUUAUUGGCCAUUGUAAGUAUUGUCCUUGGUAUGUAAGUGAGUGGCAGAAUCUGGGGAGAAUUGAUAGGAAUAUGGAGAUUGGUGUAAAUGAAUGCUUGAAUGUCAGGGUGGACUCAGUGGGCCAAAGAACCUGCUUCAGUGCUGAAUGAUUCUAUUGCUUCCAUGAUUAUCAGCUCUAAAGUUAAUAAUUAAGGCUAUCGAGUAAAUAAAAAAAUUAAUUGUGAUUAAUGAUGCAAUAAAAGCAUUAAUUACAGAUUUAUUACACUUUUAAUCAGUGUGUAAAACAAUGGAAUACCAAUAUUUUUGAUGAGUUCAAAAGAAAACGCUUUACCUUUGAGAGAGAUCAGAUACAGAGAGAGAGUGAUGGAGUCGAGUGAGGGGAUGAAUAGAGGAAGGGGAGUCAACAGGAGCAUCUUCUUUUAUUUCAGGUGUGUUGAGAAUGUCUCUGCAGUGAGAGUUUGGGCUGCCCAUUGGUGAGAUUUCAUGUACAGAAAAAGUCAAUUUACAGGAGCAGUGGACAAUGUAUAAGUGUUUAGCCACAGAGGCCCAUUGCAAAAAAGUAUGCAGUUGUCUGUUAUGGACUGUAGUUAUUAUUUAUUAUUUUUCCAAGAUCUGUGGGUUGCCGGCAAGGCUUAUAUUUAUUAUCCAUCCCUCAGAAGUUGAUAAUAAGCUGCUUUCUUGAAAUACUUUUUUUCUUCUGGUGAAGGUACUCCAGCAAUUCAGUUGGGGAGGAGUAAACUGGAUUUGGACUUAGUGACAAUGAAGAAUUGGCCAUUUACUUCCAAAUCAGGAUAGUGUGAGACUUAGAAGGGAACCUGUAGGUGGUGGUGAUUCUAUUUGCUACCGUCCUCAUACUCCUUGGUGGUAUAUGUUUGGGAGGUGCUGUUGGAGUGGCCUUGGUGAGUAGCUGCAGUGCAUCUGGUAAAAUCUAGAGCCACUGUGUGCUAAUGGUGGAGAGAAUGAAUGACUUGGGCUUUGGAAGGGCCUUAGGGUGUCAGGAGAUGAGUCAUUCACUGCAGCAUGCCCAGCUUCUGUCCUGCUCUUGUAGCCAUAAUCUUUAUGUGGCUGGUCAAGCUAAGCUACUGGCCAAAUUGAGAUCCCCAGGAUGUUGAUAGGGCGGGACUAAUUGAUGGUAAUACCAUUGAAUUCCAAGGGUAGGUAGCUGGACUCUCUCAUGUUGGAAACAUCUUUACCUGCCACUAAUUAUUGUCUAAAUGUUUCCUAAAUCACCGCAUGAAGUAAAGGGCUGCUUCAUUAGCUGACGAGUUGUGAAUGGAAUUUAACAUUGUACGAUCAGCUACAUGUAUCCCCACUAUUGACUUUGUGAAGAACCAUCUGAAGACGGUUGGGCCUAGGAUGCUGCCCCAAAGAAGUCCUCUAGUAGUGUAGUUGACCUCCAAUAACUACAACUGUCUCGUGUGAUAUAAUUCCAGGCAUUGGAGUACUUUCUCCUUGAUGCCCAUUGACAAGUUUUACCAGAGUCCUUGAUGAAACACCUGACAAAAUGCUGCCUUGAUAUCAAGGACAUUCACCCUUGUUUUGGCUCUGGAGUUUACCUCUUUGAUCCAUGUUUGGACCAAGGCUGUGAUGAGAUCUGGAGAGGAGUGAUCCAGCUAAACCCAAACUGGACAUCAGGGAACUGAUUAUCGAUCGUUCCCAGGUUUCAACAGGAUUCCAUUCCUGUGAAUUGUUCGUAACCAAAGCAGUUUGCAAGUUGGAAAUGUGGCCACAACGCAAGUUCUCACAGUGUAGAAGAUGCCUGCAGUUCACAGCAGCCAGAAAAUUCAUCCCGCCGAUCUCCCAGGUGCUCGUUCCUAUGUACAGGCUGUACAUAAGUUGGGGGUUCAUAAGCUGGGGAGCACCUGUAUUCAUUCAAGGGAUGAGGACUUCACAGGCUGAGCCAGCAUUUAAUUGCCCAUCCUUCGUUGCCCUCGAGAAGGUGGUGAUGAACUGCCUUCCUGAACCAUUGUAGUCCCUGAAGGACAUGAAUGAACCAAGUCAGUUUGUACUGUUUCGCAGUCACCUUCUGCUACCAGCUUUUUAUUAAUUACUUUUCAAGAAGUUUGUUCAUGUCUGUGGCUAUCAGCAAGCCAGACUCUCACCAAAAGUGAUUUCAGUUUCUAAAACAUUAAACGAGAAAGACCUCAAUAGAUAUAUUGCCACCCACAAAAUCCAUCUGUUAACCAAGUUUGUCCCCAAAGCCUGUCCACCAUCUACAAGGUUCAAGUCAAGAGUCUGAUGGAACACUCUCCACUUGCGUGGAUGACUGCAGCUUCAUCAACACUCAAGAAGUUUGACACCAUAUAGGACAUAACAGCCCGCUUGAAAGGCACCCUAUCCCCAACCAUUCACUCAUUCCAUCACUGACGCACAGUAGCAACAGUUUGUACCAUCUACAGGAGGCACUGCAGCAACUCAUCAAGACUCCUUAGACAGCACCUUCCAAACCCACGACCUAUACCAGCUAGAAGGACAAGGGCAGCAAAAGUAUGGGAACACCACCAAGCUUUCCAAACCACUCACCAUCCUGACUUGGAAAUAUAUUGCUGUGCCUUCACCAUCACUGGGUCAAAAUCCAUGAACUCUCCCUAACAGCGUUGUGGCCAUACGCACACCUCAAGGACUGCAGUGAUUCAAGAAGGCAGCUCACCACCACCUUCUCAAGGGCAACUAAGGAUGGGCAAUUAAAUGCUGGCUGAGCCUGCAAAGCCCACAUCCCUUGAAUCAAUAUUAAAAAAAGUGUACUGUGCUUUACUACUUUGAGAAGCAUCUUAAGUUUCAGUAUGUUCAUGUUAUAACUUUGAAGGCUUCUGAUUUACGCAUUCUGGCUUUUAUUUCUCUUAUAGCCAGGAAAGCUGUAUUGCUUAAAUGGAAGGAAGUUACUCCGCCUACUCAUGCUCAAUGGUUACGGGAUGUUAUGUCAUACUUGAAUCUGGAGAAGAUUCGCUGUUCAGUUUUUGAAUCUAACUUAGACUUUCAAACCUUGUGGGAACCAUUUUUGAAUUAUUUUCAAUAUCUCUGAUUUGGUGACUAAAACGCAGAUAUUGGCUGACACUGUUACGUUUUAAGGGUUUUUCCUUGUUGUUCUUUCCAUCAAACAGCUUCGGUUCUUGGUAG
Long non-coding RNA from Pristis pectinata (smalltooth sawfish), 4641 nucleotides. RefSeq lists it as uncharacterized. Lineage: Eukaryota; Metazoa; Chordata; Chondrichthyes; Rhinopristiformes; Pristidae. The record is from RefSeq and is a predicted model, not a curated record. The transcript is spliced from 4 exons.